This 558-nucleotide ribosomal RNA is filed under the name Triticum aestivum (bread wheat). RNAcentral describes it as "partial small subunit ribosomal RNA". Lineage: Eukaryota; Viridiplantae; Streptophyta; Magnoliopsida; Poales; Poaceae. The record is from RNAcentral.
AUGGCGACGACGACGGUGACAUGCCUGCUGAUGGUCUGGGCACUGGUUGCCGCCGGUCUGUUUGACACGGCCCUCACCCGGGCAUCCGUGGCCCCGCCCACGGUGGGGAAGGAGCGGCGCGAGUUCGACUACUCCGCGCUGGCGCCGCAGUGGCCGGGCACCAUCUGCUCCUCCACCCGUCACUGCUGCACCAUCAACGUUUGCUGCCGGUACGUGCUCCACCUCCUAUUCUCCACUCUCCCCACCACGGCCUCAUCGCGCGUGUGGGGGCUCUCAUUCGGGUCGGAUGGGGUGGGGUUUCUGUCGCUCUGGAGAUUUGAUUCGAUUCGAUUCUCCCCUCCUGCGCACAUGUGCUCACACCGUUUGUCCUUCGUGUUCCUCGUUGCAGGUCGGAGGCACUCCACACUUUCACGAUCUUGUGGUUGGAUUUCUGCUGAUGGAACAGACGGGCUGUGGCCGGACUACAAUGACAGGGACCUGGCCGUCGUGCUGCCGCCACACCAGCUUCGACAUGGACAAGGUGCUAGCCGCAGAGACCUUACUGAUAUGUGGCCGCUC